Molecule: ribosomal RNA, 368 nt
Filed under: uncultured organism
Description: bacterial SSU rRNA
Rfam family: Bacterial small subunit ribosomal RNA
Source: RNAcentral
CGGAGGGUGCAAGCGUUAUCCGGAUUCACUGGGUUUAAAGGGUGCGUAGGUGGGUUGGUAAGUCAGUGGUGAAAUCUCCAGGCUUAACUUGGAAACUGCCAUUGAUACUAUCAAUCUUGAAUACCGUGGAGAUGAGCGGAAUAUGUCAUGUAGCGGUGAAAUGCUUAGAUAUGACAUAGAACACCAAUUGCGAAGGCAGCUCGUUACACGAAUAUUGACACUGAUGCACGAAAGCGUGGGGAUCAAACAGGAUUAGAUACCCUGGUAGUCCACGCCCUAAACGAUGGAUACUCGACAUUUGCGAUAAACUGCAAGUGUCUGAGCGAAAGCAUUAAGUAUCCCACCUGGGAAGUACGACCGCAAGGUUG